CCUACGGGAGGCAGCAGUGAGGAAUAUUGGUCAAUGGGCGCGAGCCUGAACCAGCCAAGUAGCGUGAAGGAUGACUGCCCUACGGGUUGUAAACUUCUUUUAUAAAGGAAUAAAGUGAGUCACGUGUGCCUUUUUGUAUGUACUUUAUGAAUAAGGAUCGGCUAACUCCGUGCCAGCAGCCGCGGUAAUACGGAGGAUGCGAGCGUUAUCCGGAUUUAUUGGGUUUAAGGGGAGCGUAGAUGGGUUGUUAAGUCAUGUGUGAAAGCUUGUGGCUCAACCGUAAAAUUGCAAUUGAUACUGGCAGACUGGAGUACAGGUGAGGUAGGCGGAAUUCGUGGUGUAGCGGUGAAAUGCUUAUAUAUCACGAAGAACUCCGAUUGCGAAGGCAGCCUACUAAACUGCCACUGACAUUUAUGAUCGAAAGUGUGGGUAUCAAACAGGAUUAGAUACCCCGGUAGUC
RNAcentral lists this ribosomal RNA (460 nucleotides) under uncultured bacterium. Its description in RNAcentral is "partial 16S ribosomal RNA". It matches the Rfam family "Bacterial small subunit ribosomal RNA", at positions 338 to 795 of the family's 1533-position model. The record is from RNAcentral.